Molecule: ribosomal RNA, 515 nt
Filed under: uncultured bacterium
Lineage: Bacteria
Description: partial 16S ribosomal RNA
Rfam family: Bacterial small subunit ribosomal RNA
Source: RNAcentral
GAUGAACGCUGGCGGCGUGCCUAAUACAUGCAAGUCGAGCGAAUGGAUUAAGAGCUUGCUCUUAUGAAGUUAGCGGCGGACGGGUGAGUAACACGUGGGUAACCUGCCCAUAAGACUGGGAUAACUCCGGGAAACCGGGGCUAAUACCGGAUAACAUUUUGAACCGCAUGGUUCGAAAUUGAAAGGCAGCUUAAGCUGUCACUUAUGGAUGGACCCGCGUCGCAUUAGCUAGUUGGUGAGGUAACGGCUCACCAAGGCAACGAUGCGUAGCCGACCUGAGAGGGUGAUCGGCCACACUGGGACUGAGACACGGACCAGACUCCUACGGGAGGCAGCAGUAGGGAAUCUUCCGCAAUGGACGAAAGUCUGACGGAGCAACGCCGCGUGAGUGAUGAAGGCUUUCGGGUCGUAAAACUCUGUUGUUAGGGAAGAACAAGUGCUAGUUGAAUAAGCUGACACCUUGACGGUACCUAACCAGAAAGCCACGGCUAACUACGUGCCAGCCGCCGCCGUAA